GGAUCUGCAAUCAACACUCCUACCAGCCAACAUCCAAUCACAACUGCCUACAAGAGCCCUGCACUGACAUCCAGUCUGUGCCAGAUCGUUGUGCCUACAGGACCCAUCUGCAUCCAGCUCUGCCACCUUCCUCACUCACCUGCCUGUUCAUCACCAUCUGGAUCCCUCCCUCAGCAUCCCAGGACCUCCACCAGCUACCCCUUCACCCUACACUUCUGUAAAAACACUUUGGGAAACAAGACCUGUCUAAAGUCUGCUUUUUGAGUUCAGCUGUAAUACGUGACAAUAAAACUGUGAGCUGGUAGAAGAGGAGACAUUAAGCAUGUUGUGACAGUAAAUACAAUAAGUAAAUAAGUGUUUUAAGUUUCUGAUGAAGUCAGAGCAACAGAACAGUUUUAAUAAUUGGUUGCAUUUGGUAAAAGUAAAUUAUUAGAGUGGUUCUCUAAGUGGCCUAAAUCAUCACUAGACAAUUUAAAGCUCCUGCAAAUAGUUUUUAUCUGCUUAUACAACAAACUGAAAUUGGUAUUGAUGUCUCUUUAUUACUCCAAAAAAAUAAACAAGACUAUCAACACA
Long non-coding RNA from Notolabrus celidotus (New Zealand spotty), 573 nucleotides. RefSeq lists it as uncharacterized. The transcript is spliced from 2 exons. Lineage: Eukaryota; Metazoa; Chordata; Actinopteri; Labriformes; Labridae. The record is from RefSeq and is a predicted model, not a curated record.